RNAcentral lists this ribosomal RNA (442 nucleotides) under uncultured bacterium. Its description in RNAcentral is "partial 16S ribosomal RNA". It matches the Rfam family "Bacterial small subunit ribosomal RNA", at positions 338 to 795 of the family's 1533-position model. The record is from RNAcentral.
CCUACGGGAGGCUGCAGUGGGGAAUAUUGGGCAAUGGGCGCAAGCCUGACCCAGCAACGCCGCGUGAAGGAAGAAGGCUUUCGGGUUGUAAACUUCUUUUGACAGGGAAGAGCAGAAGACGGUACCUGUCGAAUAAGCCACGGCUAACUACGUGCCAGCAGCCGCGGUAAUACGUAGGUGGCAAGCGUUGUCCGGAUUUACUGGGUGUAAAGGGCGUGUAGCCGGGCUGACAAGUCAGAUGUGAAAGCCGGGGGCUCAACCCCCGAACUGCAUUUGAAACUGUUGGUCUUGAGUAUCGGAGAGGCAGGCGGAAUUCCUAGUGUAGCGGUGAAAGGCAUAGAUAUUAGGAGGAACACCAGUGGCGAAGGCGGCCUGCUGGACGACAACUGACGGUGAGGCGCGAAAGCGUGGGGAGCAAACAGGAUUAGAUACCCCUGUAGUC